Bursaphelenchus xylophilus (pine wood nematode) is the source of this 45-nucleotide non-coding RNA. NCBI's taxonomy places the organism in Eukaryota, Metazoa, Nematoda, Chromadorea, Rhabditida, Aphelenchoididae. The record is from Rfam.
CAAACGGCCCUCUUUAGGGCCACAAAUGUAAUUUUCUUACUUUUU